This 74-nucleotide transfer RNA is filed under the name Julbernardia paniculata. Its description in RNAcentral is "tRNA-Phe". Lineage: Eukaryota; Viridiplantae; Streptophyta; Magnoliopsida; Fabales; Fabaceae. The record is from RNAcentral.
CAGUUCAAAUCUGGUUCCUGGCACAUGAUCAAUUUGUAUAAAUAUCUAUUAAUUCAUUAAAAUGAAUAUGAGUC